Molecule: small nuclear RNA, 86 nt
Filed under: Chelonoidis abingdonii (Abingdon island giant tortoise)
Lineage: Eukaryota; Metazoa; Chordata; Testudines; Testudinidae
Description: U4 spliceosomal RNA (ENSCABG00000020709.1)
Rfam family: U4 spliceosomal RNA
About the family: U4 small nuclear RNA (U4 snRNA) is a component of the major U2-dependent spliceosome. The structure of U4 snRNA from yeast and human has been reported.
Source: RNAcentral
UGCUUUGCGCAGUGGCAGUAUCAUAGCCAAUGAGGUUAAUCUGAGGCGUGAUUAUUGCUAGUUGGAAAUUUCUUUGAUAGGUACAC